UUUAUUUUCUGUACAAUGAAUGAUAUUGUUGACUUUUACAAUCAAUGUCAUGAAAUAAUGUUUACAGACAUCAUGUCCUCAAAAGAUGACGGAAACGAUCGAAGAGUGUACGUAGGAAAUCUACCGCCGGAUAUUCGUUCUAAGGAUAUUCAAGAUUUGUUCCAUAAGUAUGGGGAGAUUGCUUUCAUAGAUCUAAAGAACAGGCGAGGACCUCCAUUUGCUUUUGUCGAGUUUGAAGAACCAAGAGAUGCAGAGGAUGCAGUCCAUGCUAGGGAUGGAUACGAUUAUGAUGGUUACAGGCUUAGAGUUGAGUUCCCGAAGGGAGGAGGAGGCAGUUUCAGGGCUGGAGCUGGAGGUGGACGUAGUGGAGGCAGAGGACCACCUGCUCGUAGAUCCAAAUACAGGGUUCUAGUCACAGGUUUACCCGCGAGUGGGAGCUGGCAGGAUCUCAAGGAUCACAUGAGAGAAGCAGGGGAUGUGUGUUUCUCUGAUACUUUCAAGGACGGUUCCGGAGCUGUAGAAUAUCUCAGAUAUGAGGAUAUGAAGUACGCUUUGAAGAAACUCGAUGAUACAAAAUUCAAAUCUCACGAGGGAGAGACGAGUUAUGUCCGCGUGAAGGAGGAUAUUGGUGGAGGUGACCGUGACCGCGGUUCUGACCGCAGGCGACGUAGUCCUAGCCGGAGCAGAUCAAGGAGUAGGAAGAUGUCUCGAGCCAGCCCGACCUACUCCCCGGUCAGGAGGAGACGGUCCUAUACCAAAUCAAGGUCAAGAUCUGAAUCCAGCAAGAGCAAGAGCAGGAGUCGGAGCAAGAGCAAGAGUAGGAGCAGGAAUGAGAGUAGGAGCAGGAAUAGGAGGAAGAGGAGUGAGACGAGGAGUAGGAGUAAAUCCUAGAUCCCACCCAGGGGCAUACUGAGGAUUGAAAUGACAAGGAUCUUAACAGUCCCCGUCAUAGGAUCAGGAUAUGUUCAUAGGAUCAGGAUCAUGGGACAUGUUUAAUGCUCAUAGGACAUGUUCAUAGGAUCAGGAUCAUAUUUCAGGACACUAGGAUCGCCAGGAUCUUUUCUGUUCCAGUCUUAGGAUCAGGAUUAGUCAAGUGCAGGAUCAAAGAAUUCAUGGACUAUUGUUCAUAAAGUUCUUAGGAUUGGCAGGUUACGAGUUCAUUCGAAUAUAUUGACGAUGAUUGUUCUGAAAUAUUUAUUUUAUCUUGAUUUUAUCUUGACCUGGAUAUAUUUUAUUUAUAGGAUCAGGAUAAUGAGGCAUUAGAUAUUUUCAUAUUAUCAGGAUCAUAGUGUGCCAGGACAAGUUCAAUGUUCAGAGGAUCAGGAUCAUCAAGUGCCAGGAUAUGUUCAGAGGAUCAGGAUCAUAGUACUCCUAGCAAUAUUCAUAGGAUCAGAAUAAUAAUACUUCAAGAUGUUCAUAGGAUCAGAAUACGGAAUCAUAGAACUUUAAGAAAUGUUCAUAGAAUUAGGAUCAUAGUACUUCAAGAUAUGUACAUAGGACCAGAGUCAAAGCACUUCUACACUGCGUUUCAAGUUAUUAUGCAAGUACGUUUUUUUUUAAUUCUGACUCGGAAAUAAAUUUUUCCUGAAGGUU
RNAcentral lists this unclassified non-coding RNA (1593 nucleotides) under Eurytemora carolleeae. RNAcentral describes it as "serine/arginine-rich splicing factor 1B". The record is from RNAcentral. Lineage: Eukaryota; Metazoa; Arthropoda; Copepoda; Calanoida; Temoridae.